CUACGGGCUGCACCAGUGAGGAAUAUUACACAAUGGGGGGAACCCUGAUGCAGCAACGCCGCGUGGAGGAUGACGCAUUUCGGUGUGUAAACUCCUUUUAUAUGUCAAGAAAAUGACGGUAGCAUAUGAAUAAGCACCGGCUAACUCCGUGCCAGCAGCCGCGGUAAUACGGAGGGUGCAAGCGUUACUCGGAAUCACUUGGCGUAAAGGACGCGUAGGCGGGUUGGAAAGUCAGGUGUGAAAUCCUACAGCUUAACUGUAGAACUGCACUUGAAACUUCUAAUCUAGAGUAUGGGAGGGGGAGAUGGAAUUAGUGGUGUAGGGGUAAAAUCCGUAGAUAUCACUAGGAAUACCUAAAGCGAAGGCGAUCUCCUGGAACAUUACCGACGCUAAGGCGUGAAAGCGUGGGGAGCAAACAGGAUUAGAUACCCUUGUAGUC
This 439-nucleotide ribosomal RNA is filed under the name uncultured bacterium. Its description in RNAcentral is "partial 16S ribosomal RNA". It matches the Rfam family "Bacterial small subunit ribosomal RNA", at positions 339 to 795 of the family's 1533-position model. The record is from RNAcentral.